This is a small nuclear RNA of Chrysemys picta bellii (western painted turtle), 163 nucleotides long. Its record names the gene U1. It matches the Rfam family "U1 spliceosomal RNA". From Rfam's summary of the family: U1 is a small nuclear RNA (snRNA) component of the spliceosome (involved in pre-mRNA splicing). The record is from Ensembl. Lineage: Eukaryota; Metazoa; Chordata; Testudines; Emydidae.
AUACUUACCUAGCAGGGGAGAUACCAUGAUCACAAAGGUGGUUUUCCCAGGGUGAGGCUUAUCCAUUGCACGUCGGGGGGGGGGGGGAGGAGAUAGCUCAGUGGUUUGAGCAUUGGCUUGCUAAACCCAGGGUUGUGAGUUUAAUCCUUGAGGAGGCCACUUA